UUUUUAUAUGUUGACCCCAGAAAAUAAAUUUUCUAGAUCCGCCAAUGUUAGUUGCUUUUAGCUAGUGACACAGACAUGUAUGUUUUUGUCAUUUUGCUUUCCUAAGGUCUACACAAGGAAAUUGAUUCUUUUGAAAUGUUUGCAUGGAUAUGGUUGAGCUUUUUUUACUGGUGUUUUGGAUCCUGAACUUCUCGGGCUUCAAACUGUAGAGCAUGUCCUUCGGUUAUCUCGAACAUGGGAUUCAACCAUU
This 250-nucleotide unclassified non-coding RNA is filed under the name Hevea brasiliensis (rubber tree). The record is from RNAcentral. Lineage: Eukaryota; Viridiplantae; Streptophyta; Magnoliopsida; Malpighiales; Euphorbiaceae.